Molecule: ribosomal RNA, 490 nt
Filed under: uncultured bacterium
Lineage: Bacteria
Description: partial 16S ribosomal RNA
Rfam family: Bacterial small subunit ribosomal RNA
Source: RNAcentral
GAUGAACGCUAGCUACAGGCUUAACACAUGCAAGUCGCGGGGCAGCAUGGGGGUUGCUUGCAAUCCCCGAUGGCGACCGGCGCACGGGUGAGUAACGCGUAUCCAACCUGCCCUUCACCACGGGAUAACCCGGCGAAAGUCGGACUAAUACCGUAUGUUGUCCAUUGACGGCAUCCGAUUUGGACGAAAGGUUUGGCGGUGAAGGAUGGGGAUGCGUCCGAUUAGCUGGACGGCGGGGUGACGGCCCACCGUGGCGACGAUCGGUAGGGGUUCUGAGAGGGGGGUCCCCCACACUGGAACUGAGACACGGUCCAGACUCCUACGGGAGGCAGCAGUGAGGAAUAUUGGUCAAUGGGCGUAAGCCUGAACCAGCCAAGUAGCGUGCAGGAUGACGGCCCUAUGGGUUGUAAACUGCUUUUAUGCGGGGAUAAAGUGGCCCACGUGUGGGUUUUUGCAGGUACCGCAUGAAUAAGGACCGGCUAAUUCCGUG